Molecule: ribosomal RNA, 413 nt
Filed under: uncultured soil bacterium
Lineage: Bacteria
Description: bacterial SSU rRNA
Rfam family: Bacterial small subunit ribosomal RNA
Source: RNAcentral
AGAUUGAACGCUGGCGGCAUGCCUUACACAUGCAAGUCGAACGGUAGAGUAGCAAUACUUGAGAGUGGCGAACGGGUGAGUAAUAUAUCGGAACGUGCCCAGUCGUGGGGGAUAACGUAGAGAAAUUUACGCUAAUACCGCAUACGAUCUAAGGAUGAAAGCGGGGACCGUAAGGCCUCGCGCGAUUGGAGCGGCUGAUAUCAGAUUAGGUUGUUGGUGAGGUAAAGCUCACCAAGCCGACGAUCUGUAGCUGGUUUGAGAGAACGACCAGCCACACUGGGACUGAGACACGGCCCAGACUCCUACGGGAGGCGACGCAGUGGGAAGUUUUGGACAAGUGGGACGAAAGCCGUAGAUCCAGACAAUGCCGCGUGCGAAGGAAGAACGGCCGUUACGGGUUAGUAAACGUACGU